GGAUCAUACGUACCUGAGACCAAGAUUAUGUUGUGCGCUAUGCUUUCUGGAGUUGUUAUACUCCCUCUGAUAUUGUUCCUUGAAUGCCAUUAUGAGUACAAGUCAAUGGCAAGUUUGAAACCUGUUUGUUUCUGGAAAAAAGACUCUGACAUGAUGAACAAUUCUUCAAUACCCCCAGCCCAAUUAGGCCUUAGCCCCUCAUCUAGCAUUCGUCACACACGCUCCCUCAAGAACCUUUCUCCACCACCUUUCUAUCAGCAUGCAAUAUGCAAUCAUUCAUUCACUGAACGCAUCUGGAUGAAUUGGACAAAUAGUAACCCUUAUAAGUACCAGUUACCCAUAUGAAAUGUGUCUACAGCUAAUGAAACCGAUGCAUUAUGUUUGUUUGAAGGUUCACAGAAAAUUGUUAGAUCUUAUAACGCAGAAAUGUGCACAGUUAAGGUUGCAUAUCAAUGUAAACAGAUAGGCCUUAUUACUUUUAAUAAUG
Molecule: non-coding RNA, 487 nt
Organism: Pelobates cultripes (western spadefoot toad)
Lineage: Eukaryota; Metazoa; Chordata; Amphibia; Anura; Pelobatidae
Source: the annotation of a GenBank genome assembly